This 237-nucleotide ribosomal RNA is filed under the name uncultured Synergistaceae bacterium. RNAcentral's name for it is "partial 16S ribosomal RNA". It matches the Rfam family "Bacterial small subunit ribosomal RNA", at positions 1147 to 1382 of the family's 1533-position model. The record is from RNAcentral. Lineage: Bacteria; Thermotogati; Synergistota; Synergistia; Synergistales; Synergistaceae.
GACUGCCAUCGACAAGAUGGAGGAAGGUGGGGAUGACGUCAAGUCAUCAUGGCCCUUAUGUCCAGGGCGACACACGUGCUACAAUGGCCGGCACAACGGGAAGCGAGUUCGCGAGGACGAGCGGAUCCCUCAAAGCCGGUCGCAGUUCGGAUUGAAGUCUGCAACUCGACUUCAUGAAGCUGGAAUCGCUAGUAAUCGUGGAUCAGCCAAGCCGCGGUGAAUACGUUCCCGGGCCUU